Molecule: long non-coding RNA, 1795 nt
Filed under: Macaca mulatta (Rhesus monkey)
Lineage: Eukaryota; Metazoa; Chordata; Mammalia; Primates; Cercopithecidae
Description: lncRNA (ENSMMUG00000056906.1)
Source: RNAcentral
GGGACUAAAUAUAUAACACAAACUUAGCUAGAGUCCAAAGUUGGAGUAGAAGUUGUUGAAACAGUUCCCUUCAUGUAAUUGUUAUAAACAAAGUUCACAAGCUAUUCAUUACCCACUUUGGGCAGGGUGUAUCAGCCAUUUUAAAUCUGCCCUCAAAAGCACAGAACAGAUCAGAUGGCACCUUGCUUAUAGAGGAGAGGGUCUACGAGAACCAAAUUCCAGCUUCAGCGUAUGACCUUGGGUACAGCUACAAGAUGGAGGAAGCUAUUUGACCUGCAUCAGACUUUAUGUGAACACAAGGUAAGCCUUUAUCAUGUGAAGCCACUGAGAUUUGAGGAUUUAUUCUGGGAUUGCCACAUAGUUUGGCCUGUCCUGACAAUAAGCGGGCGUGACUGCUGCUUCACUUCCCCUCACCCCACCUGCUCCUCCAAUUUGUGUGAUCUUGUGUCUGCCCUCACUGCUUGGGGAAACGGCUACCCUCAAAAUUUACCAGUGACCUCAUUCUUAUUCAGCUACAGACUGCUGAGUUGCCUCAUGCACUUAAACUCUUCUUUCUCUCUUAAUCUUUUACUUCAGUAUUUUAAGUUUAACAAAAAGUAAUCCCUUCACAUUUUAAGGAAAUCUCCCCUUACCUUCUUAAUUAUUUAUCUGCCUUCUGUUCUGUUUGCUUUUUCUCUUACCUCCAAAGGCAGGUGUUCCCCCAAAGAUCUGCCUCUGGCUCCCCUCUCUUCUCAUUCCCCCACUCCCCCAGGUGCUUCCAUAUGCUCCUGUGUGCUCCAGCAGUUGGCUCGUUUGCACAAGGUGGCAUUCCUCACCCUCAGCUCCAGCCCAGUGUUUCCAGCCUCUCUAGAUGUCUGCCUGGGGCUGCAGCCCACUUUUGGAGAUGACUGUUCAGAACUAGACUUAUCAUCCUUUUUCCUCUUUUCCUUCUUCUUCCUAUUGUGCUCCCUUUUACUUACUAUUCAUGGCACUGUUAUCAAAUUUCACCCAGGCUUGACCCCUAGAUUUUCUUUUUGACUUGGUCUUUUCCAUUCGACCACUCCCUUAUCUAAUCAGUUACAGAGUGCAGUCGAUUCUUUCACCUGGUCCCUUCUCUGAUCUCCAUUACUAUUACACUACUUGUGUGUAUGUAAUGGCAUUGGGGGGAGACUAGAAAGACACAUGCUGGACUGUUGACCGUGGUUAGUUCUGGGGAAGAAUAUCCAUGGGAGUGGGUGGAGACGAUGGGGGCUUUCGUGCUUGAAAAUGUAUUAUUCUGUACUUUUAACAUACUUUCUAACAAUGCAUUCACAUAUUAACUGCAUAAUACGAAGGCAACUUAAAAAAAGUAAGAAUAGGCUGCCUGUGAUGUAGUGAAGACUUCAUAACUGGAAAUUUUGGAACAAAAGUUAGAUGACUUAGCAUUAGGGAUGUCAUAGAUGUUGUAGAAGGGAUUCCCGUAUCAAAUGGUAAACUGGAAGUUAUCUUCUGCAUCAGUUAGGAUUAGAUUCAGUGGUGAGUGAUGGAACUCCAAAAUAACACAGACUUAAACAACAUGGAAGUUUGUAUUUGAAGUAAGAGUCUAGAAGGUAAUCAAUCCAAGAUUUGUGAGAGUCUGCCACAAUUCUCAGAGAUUUCUUCCGUCUUGCCACUCAUGUCAUGAGCUCCACCUCAUAGUUUAAUCAAGUUGCUUAAGCUUCAGCCAUCAUGUUUGCAUUCCAUUUAGCAAGACAGGCAGAUUAGCACAUGCCCCCUGCCUUUCAGGACACUUUCCAGAAGGUGCUACUUCUACUUCUACUCCUAGUUACACAGAAAC